RNAcentral lists this ribosomal RNA (500 nucleotides) under uncultured bacterium. RNAcentral describes it as "bacterial SSU rRNA". It matches the Rfam family "Bacterial small subunit ribosomal RNA", at positions 28 to 521 of the family's 1533-position model. The record is from RNAcentral.
GACGAACGCUGGCGGCGUGGAUUAGGCAUGCAAGUCGAACGGUAUCAUCCUUUCGGGGGUGAGAGAGUGGCGAACUGGUGAGUAACACGUAGGUUAUCUACCCUCAAGACGGGGACAACCCAGGGAAACUUGGGCUAAUACCGGAUGUGAGCAACUUUUAGUUGUUUGAAAGGUGGCGUAAGCUGUCGCUUGGGGAUGAGCCUGCGUCCUAUUAGUUAGUUGGUGAGGUAACGGCUCACCUAGGCAAUGAUAGGUAGGCGGCCUUAACGGGUGGUCGCCCACACUGGGAUUGAGAUACGGCCCAGACUCCUACGGGAGGCAGCAGUCGAGAAUAGUCUACAAUGGUCGGAAGACUGAUAGUGCGACGCCGCGUGAACGAUGAAUCCCUUCGGGGUGUAAAGUUCUUUUAUAUGUGAGCAGUGCUUCUUAUAUUAACAGUAUGGGGAGAGAGAUAUUAGCAUAUGAAUAGCAACGGCUAACUCGUGCCAGCAGCCGACGGU